UACGUAGGUCCCGAGCGUUAUCCGGAUUUAUUGGGCGUAAAGCGAGCGCAGGCGGUUGGAUAAGUCUGAAGUUAAAGGCUGUGGCUCAACCAUAGUAUGCUUUGGAAACUGUUCAACUUGAGUGCAGAAGGGGAGAGUGGAAUUCCAUGUGUAGCGGUGGAAUGCGUAGAUAUAUGGAGGAACACCGGUGGCGAAAGCGGCUCUCUGAUCUGUAACUGACGCUGAGGCUCGAAAGCGUGGGUAGCGAACAGG
RNAcentral lists this ribosomal RNA (252 nucleotides) under uncultured bacterium. RNAcentral describes it as "partial 16S ribosomal RNA". It matches the Rfam family "Bacterial small subunit ribosomal RNA", at positions 524 to 776 of the family's 1533-position model. The record is from RNAcentral.